GAUCAGUCGGACUCAGGACGAACGCUGGCGGCGCGCCUAACACAUGCAAGUCGAACGAGAGAUGAGGAGCUUGCUCUUCAAAUCGAGUGGCGAACGGGUGAGUAACGCGUGAGGAACCUGCCUCAAAGAGGGGGACAACAGUUGGAAACGACUGCUAAUACCGCAUAAGCCCACGGCUCGGCAUCGAGCAGAGGGAAAAGGAGCGAUCCGCUUUGAGAUGGCCUCGCGUCCGAUUAGCUAGUUGGUGAGGUAACGGCCCACCAAGGCGACGAUCGGUAGCCGGACUGAGAGGUUGAACGGCCACAUUGGAACUGAGAAACGGUCCAGACUCCUGCGGGAGGCAGCAGUGGGGAAUAUUGGGCAAUGGGCGAAAGCCUGACCCAGCGACGCCGCGUGAGGGAAGAAGGUCUUCGGAUUGUAAACCUUAGUUAGCAGGGAAGAAGAAAGUGACGGUACCUGCAGAGAAAGCCACGGCUAACUACGUG
Molecule: ribosomal RNA, 485 nt
Filed under: uncultured bacterium
Lineage: Bacteria
Description: bacterial SSU rRNA
Rfam family: Bacterial small subunit ribosomal RNA
Source: RNAcentral